This 480-nucleotide ribosomal RNA is filed under the name uncultured bacterium. Its description in RNAcentral is "partial 16S ribosomal RNA". It matches the Rfam family "Bacterial small subunit ribosomal RNA", at positions 28 to 523 of the family's 1533-position model. The record is from RNAcentral.
GACGAACGCUGGCGGCGUGCUUAACACAUGCAAGUCGAGCGGUAAGGCUCCUUCGGGAGUACACGAGCGGCGAACGGGUGAGUAACACGUGAGCAAUCUGCCCUUCUCAUCGGAAUAACCAUUGGAAACGAUGGCUAAUGCCGAAUACGACUUCCUUUCGCAUGUCAGGAAGUGGAAGGAUCCGGCGGAGAAGGAUGAGCUCGCGGCCUAUCAGCUUGUUGGUGAGGUAAUGGCUCACCAAGGCGACGACGGGUAGCCGGCCUGAGAGGGUGACCGGCCACACUGGGACUGAGACACGGCCCAGACUCCUACGGGAGGCAGCAGUGGGGAAUAUUGGACAAUGGGCGAAAGCCUGAUCCAGCAACGCCGCGUGAGGGAUGACGGCCUUCGGGUUGUAAACCUCUUUCAGCAGGGACGAAGCGAAAGUGACGGUACCUGCAGAAGAAGGACCGGCCAACUACGUGCCAGCAGCCGCCGCAG